UACAAAGGUCCCAAGCGUUGUUCGGAUUCACUGGGCGUAAAGGGUGCGUAGGCGGCGCGGUAAGUCGGGGGUGAAAUCCCGGGGCUUAACUCCGAAACUGCAUUCGAUACUGCCGUGCUUGAGGACGGGAGAGGAGACUGGAAUUUACGGUGUAGCGGUGAAAUGCGUAGAUAUCGUAAGGAACACCAGUGGCGAAGGCGGGUCUCUGGACAGUUCCUGACGCUGAGGCACGAAGGCCAGGGGAGCAAACGGG
This 253-nucleotide ribosomal RNA is filed under the name uncultured bacterium. Its description in RNAcentral is "partial 16S ribosomal RNA". It matches the Rfam family "Bacterial small subunit ribosomal RNA", at positions 524 to 776 of the family's 1533-position model. The record is from RNAcentral.